This 929-nucleotide ribosomal RNA is filed under the name uncultured bacterium. Its description in RNAcentral is "bacterial SSU rRNA". It matches the Rfam family "Bacterial small subunit ribosomal RNA", at positions 8 to 894 of the family's 1533-position model. The record is from RNAcentral.
AGAGUUUGAUCCUGGCUCAGGAUGAACGCUGGCGGCAUGCCUAAGACAUGCAAGUCGAACGGAGGGACCCAAUGACGUUUUAUGAAGUUUUGCGAGCUUGCUCAAGAAACGGAUUAAAGCUGAUUUGGAUUAUCCCUUAGUGGCAAACGAGUGAGUAACACGUGGGUUACCUACCUCCAAGUCGGGGACAACAGUUGGAAACGAUUGCUAAUACCGGAUGUGGACUACGGUUUAAAGAAGCCUUUAAAGCUUCGCUUGGAGAUGGGCCUGCGGUGCAUUAGCUAGUUGGUGGGGCAAUGGCCUACCAAGGCGACGAUGCAUAGCCGAACUGAGAGGUUAAUCGGCCACAUUGGGACUGAGACACGGCCCAAACUCCUACGGGAGACAGCAGUUAGGAAUAUUCGUCAAUGGGGGGAACCCUGAACGAGCAAUGCCGCGUGAGUGAUGACGGUCCUCUGGAUUGUAAAACUCUGUUGCUUGGAAAGAAUUGUAAGAAGAGGAAAUGCUUCUUAUUUGACGGUACCAUUCAAGAAAGCCACGGCUAACUACGUGCCAGCAGCCGCGGUAAUACGUAGGUGGCGAGCGUUAUCCGGAUUUAUUGGGCGUAAAGCGUCCGCAGCCGGUUUAUUAAGUCUAGAAUUAAAGCCUGGAGCUCAACUCCAGUUCGUUUUAGAAACUGAUAGACUCGAGUGUGGUAGAGGCAAACGGAAUUUCUAGUGUAGCGGUAGAAUGCGUAGGUAUUAGAAGGAACACCAGUGGCGAAGGCGGUUUGCUAGGCCACCACUGACGGUCAUGGACGAAAGCGUGGGGAGCAAAUAGGAUUAGAUACCCUAGUAGUCCACGCUGUAAACGAUGAGUACUAAGUGUCGGGUUACCGGUGCUGAAGUUAACACAUUAAGUACUCCGCCUGAGUAGUACGGUCGCAAGGC